Molecule: long non-coding RNA, 375 nt
Organism: Mya arenaria
Lineage: Eukaryota; Metazoa; Mollusca; Bivalvia; Myida; Myidae
Exons: 3
Source: RefSeq, a predicted model, not a curated record
CCUAAUUUAUUGCUUAUUUUAAUAGCCAGCCUGGUUGCUGUAGCCACAGAGGAAUUUUCAAGGACAAGAACCAGUGCUGGUAAAACUGUGGUCUCGUGUGGUUUUCCAUACCGGCUCUCGGCAAGGAUUUUCAAGAAAGGAAUACCAUCUCCAAAUCAUGAUGUGCCAAUAAGCUCCAGUUAGCUGCGGCCUUUUCCCCAGGCGGUAGUCCUGCAAUCUGAAUCCAGGAGAUGCAGCUCUGAAUCCAAUAUUUCAGAAGAAUGAAGAUGAAGCAGACCCAGGAGGAACUGUCUGUUGAAGACCCCCCCUCCCCCCCCACCAAGCUGCCCACCAGAGGCCAAGCUGUACUUGGUGUUUGCCAACAUGCUGUAAUUU